CCCCUUUUCGCGAUUGGGAACGUGGACACGCCGGAGCCUGGAUGCAGAAGGGCGCGCGGGAACAGGGAGCUGGUGCGCGAGCCGCAGCCCAGCGUCCAGGCCGCCCCACUCUCUGCUGAUCCAAAGGACUAGGGAAACCCUGCGCGCCGACGGUGGCCUGGACGUUGGCGCGGGCCCUGGCGCUAAAAAACGGAUCCCAUUUCCAGAAAGGCGGGCCGGGUAUCCCGCUCCUGCCUCCUGGAGAAUUAGCUCGGCGGAGGUCGACCAGCCGGGUAGGGAGGGAGGGAUGGAGGGACAGGCCUAGGGUCGACCAGCCGGAUAGGGAGUAGCUUCUGGGAGCUCCCUUGCCUACGGAGGGCCGGUGAGGCUGCCCUCAGAGCGCCGCCAGGUACGUGCUUUUUCCUUGUUUCCCGCGCGCCCAGAGCACACUCUGGGGAGGGAAGGAAUAAAAACCCAGCUGGUGUGUAGGAGAUUUUCGCACCAAACGUGUCUUUCUGAGGGGUCCUGGGACGGUAGCCGAACUCGGGGUAGCCUCCUGAGCUGUAUUCUGGAAUCCCUACUGGGCUCUCCACCACCCGUAAGACGGGCUUGGAGCCAGUUCCUGUGGAAAUGCGCGUCACUUUCUUCAGAGGCCCACGAAAUUCAUCCAGGACUCCAUGGGUACUACAGCAAGAUGGCUCUGUUUCGAAGUGGUUCAUACAGUUAUCCCCCAACCCGGAAACCUAGAAUUCUCGUUUUCUGAACCGGGAUGUUUACUUUAGGGAAACCUGGUCUUGGCUUCUGCUGCGCGCCGGGUGUCUAGGAACGAAUCCCUCCUGGAUCCGGGAACCCCAGAUUUGCGGGGUUAGGAGAUACCCUCAGAGUUGUGGUUUUUUGUUGGUGGUGGUUUGUUAAGAGCCUGGUAGCUGAACUGGAGCGGGCCCCGUCCCCUCCCCCAUACCCACUUCAAACAAAAGAGCUCCUCCGAGAAUAUUUUUUAAGGGGAAAGCGCUUCUGAAUGUGGACCCUCAGUUCUCCCCGCCCCCCGUUCCGAGGAAGGACAAGGGUUUUAUAUGUGUGUUUAAAACAAAGGCGAAGCUAGACGCGAGUUGCCGGGAAAGGGCCGCUUUUAUUUUAAAGUUCUUGAAGAAUUCACUUUCUUUUCUCCCAAGUUAGCUGCAGCUGAGCCAGAAGCGUCCCCACUGGCUUACCCGAUAGUGGGAUUUUACACGGUGUCGGCUAAGGGUGGCUUUGUGAGAAGACCAUUUCAGAAGAAGAAACGGGGCUCUGGCUGGUGGGGUAGAAACCCCUAUGGAAUGAAAAGUACUCCCAGUCUCUUUGAGGAAGAUUGCAAAGUAAGGGCCUUUCUGCGGAUCUUUCCCUAGAAACCCCGCUGGGCUCCGGCUCUGAACAGCACCGGAGGACUGCAACGCCCACCCAGGCCCUGCUGCGGGUCUCCGGUGGCCUCAGCUCCUGUCGGGUAACCUCCCUAGGCCUCCCGGAACGCUCACCGGAGCUCGAGCCUUUGGACGUUCAGGGGGCUCCAACUUUAUGUGGGGAUCCCCGGACCGCCAGUGCCUGCCUCCCCACCCCCCACCCUCAUCCCUUUGUUCGCCUCUCCGGACACCGAGUUGAAGGCAGGAAAAAAAAAUAAUUAGAUGGAAAUCAAAGAUUAGACGGGGUGCGCUGGCCGCCAGGGCGAAGCCAGCCCAACACUCCGCCGGCGCCUCAUAAAUCUUUUUCGCAGGCCUGACAAAAGCCACGUCCUCCAGUUCCCUGGGAAUCUAGAAACUUAUCGAUCUCCUCGACGUCCCCCAGACACCCCUCUUUGGGAUCGAGGACGGAGAGUCCUUGGUGACCCCCCCCCCCACUUAUGUCCAGCCCAGGACGUCCCAGCCCAAUCCCGGAGUUAAUUAAUUUUCAGAAGUGGAAGAAGGUGUCAGAGGGAGAGAUACCGACCUGGGCCCAACCCCCUCCCAGGAAGGGCAGCAAAUAUCCAAAACCCGUUUGUAAAACCAAAGAAAUGUUAGGGUGCCACGUUUCCCUUGCUCCAGCUGCCUGGAAGGAUGUAUUCUGAGAAGGGUGAGGGGCAGCUUAACCCCUCCUUGGCGACUCCUUUGUCUGGUCCAGCCAUUUCUGGAACCAGCGGGGCGCCUGGGACUGGGGUGUAGAAGCCAGGCUCCCAGGCGCUGGUCCCGCAGGUGUGACGCACGCUGCUGUUGUGGGUCCGAGCCACGGGUGUGUGCGGUCCACGUGCGAUCCACCCGGGAUUGCACCCGAGAGCCCUCCGCCGGAACAGUUGAGCACUUGCGGAGUCGUGGUGCUUUUAGAGUUUUUAAAAACUUGAAUUAAUUGGGGGAGUAGAGUGCUUUCCGACGCGAAUGGAGGUGUCUUAAAAAUUAUAUCCCAUUGUUGAACCAGUUGUUUCCGAUCUUAGGUAUUAAAGAAAUGUUGCCACAUUUAAUUUUGGUUGCCGUGAGAUAGAGAGGGGAGCCCAACAUUUUGCAGUAAUUUGAUAAGCCUUCAAGUAGCAGAUCCGAAAGGGAGGCUGGCGGCCCAGGUAUAGUUUCUUUAUAACCUGAAUUUACAAUGAAAGCAUUCUCCUUUAUGGAUAUAAUAGAUUAGAUUUCACAACUUAAUUCUCUGCAAUGGCUCCGUUUAAGGGAGCUCCGGCUGAUUUUAUUACGCCAAGCCAAAUUGGAUGCUUGUGGUCUUAACGAAAAGUGAUUGUGACAUAAAAUAUAUAAUUUUAAAGUAAAAAACCAACGGGUUCGACCCUGCCCCCUCCCCCCUCCCCCUUUCUCCUAACCCCUGCUCCUUAUUCCCCAGUUUGGGAAAUAGGGGAAUCAUGGGUGUUGGUUGGUUUCUGCCUGGAAGUUUAGGCGACCCGGGCCCGGGCGGUGGAUUGGCGGCCUGGAGGGCCAGGCCAGACCCUCCCAUCUGGUAGUCAAGAAUAUGAACACUCCCAACACAGUCCAGGGAAUCUCCGGGUACUCUUCUGCCCAUGCUGGUGACUUCAAAGCCUCCCCAGGCUGGCGUGGAGCGCCAAGGAAGCAUGCUUUGAGCCGCAGCGCGCGCGCUGUCUCUCUCCAGUCUGCGUGGAGUGAAGCGUCUGUCCUCUCCUCCCAAGGCCACCACCAAGGCUCUGUAGGCGGCGGUGCCCAGGGCUGGCCCCGGACGGCUCCAAGUGCCGCACCCGAGCUGUAUUCAGCAAGUGUGGUCGGUGGGGACUGGGCGGCGGACGGCGCGAGCAGCUCUCCAAGCCCAGCCAUCCCGCCCCUGAGCGCCGGGAGCCCAGCCCUACAAGCCGCAGCCGACAAGGACAAGGGUCUUUGGGCUCCAGCCGACCUGGCCUGCCAGCGCCUGCGGCCCACUCUGCCGUCACUUCUCAUUAAGGUCGGGCUAUGUUCUCCUGACAGCGCCCCUCAUUUCAGAGUGCUUUGUUGGAGACUGAUUUAGCCCCCCAGAAGCUCGGGGCAGCCAGCAGCCCGAGUGAGGUCCGCUGAUGGCCCCAGGCGACUGCGGGCCGCCCCAGACUCCCCGCUGAGACCUCUAGAGCUAGGUCUGGUUUGCUGGACUCUCUGGAUGCAGAGGCAGCCUGGGUGCCUCCGGGUUCCCACAGGCCUCGACCCCCGCGCUCCAAGGACGCGUGCGUGCUGGUGCGUGGCCCACAGGCGGCGGGGGCACACCUUAAAUUAAAUCUUUGCAGCGC
This 3691-nucleotide long non-coding RNA is filed under the name Mus musculus (house mouse). RNAcentral describes it as "regulator of early neurogenesis 1". The record is from RNAcentral. Lineage: Eukaryota; Metazoa; Chordata; Mammalia; Rodentia; Muridae.